GCCUUUGUAGCUUAACUGCCAGAGCUUCCUGUCAUCAUAGCUGGUUCAAAAUUUUAAGAGGGAGCCGUCGGUUCGACUCCCGUCGAGGGCG
This is a non-coding RNA of Mycena metata, 91 nucleotides long. The record is from the annotation of a GenBank genome assembly. Lineage: Eukaryota; Fungi; Basidiomycota; Agaricomycetes; Agaricales; Mycenaceae.